AGUUCGGAUUGUAGUCUGCAACUCGACUACAUGAAGCUGGAAUCGCUAGUAAUCGCAGAUCAGAAUGCUGCGGUGAAUACGUUCCCGGGUCUUGUACACACCGCCCGUCACACCAUGGGAGUCGGAAAUGCCCGAAGCCGGUGACCAAACCAAUAAGGAAGGAGCCGUCGAAGGCAGGUCUGAUAGCUGGGGUGAAGUCGUAACAAGGUAAC
RNAcentral lists this ribosomal RNA (212 nucleotides) under uncultured bacterium. RNAcentral describes it as "partial 16S ribosomal RNA". It matches the Rfam family "Bacterial small subunit ribosomal RNA", at positions 1290 to 1500 of the family's 1533-position model. The record is from RNAcentral.